GACGAACGCUGGCGGCGUGCUUAACACAUGCAAGUCGAACGGAAAGGCCCUGCUUUUGUGGGGUGCUCGAGUGGCGAACGGGUGAGUAACACGUGAGUAACCUGCCCUUGACUUUGGGAUAACUUCAGGAAACUGGGGCUAAUACCGGAUAGGAGCUCCUGCUGCAUGGUGGGGGUUGGAAAGUUUCGGCGGUUGGGGAUGUGCUCGCGGCUUAUCAGCUUGUUGGUGGGGUAGUGGCUUACCAAGGCUUUGACGGGUAGCCGGCCUGAGAGGGUGACCGGACAAAUUGGGACUGAGAUACGGCCCAGACUCCGACGGGAGGAAGCAGGGGGGAAUAUUGAACAAUGGGCGGAAGCCUGAUGCAGCAACGCCGCGUGCGGGAUGACGGCCUUCGGGUUGUAAACCGCUUUCGCCUGUGACGAAGCGUGAGUGACGGUAAUGGGUAAAGAAGGACCGGCUAACUACGUG
Molecule: ribosomal RNA, 468 nt
Filed under: uncultured bacterium
Lineage: Bacteria
Description: partial 16S ribosomal RNA
Rfam family: Bacterial small subunit ribosomal RNA
Source: RNAcentral